Molecule: ribosomal RNA, 1279 nt
Filed under: human gut metagenome
Description: bacterial LSU rRNA
Rfam family: Bacterial large subunit ribosomal RNA
Source: RNAcentral
AAUAGUUUUAGGACUAGCCUCAAGUUAGAUACCUGGAGGUAAAGCACUGAAUAGCCUAGCGGCCGAGAGGUUAGCGAAGCUUAUCAAACUCAGAAUGCCAGAGUAUUGAUGCUUGGGAGUCAGACAGUGUCAGAUAAAUGUCAUUGUCAAAAGGGAAACAGCCCAGAUCUACAGCUAAGGUCCCAAAGUCAGGUUAAGUGGAAAACGAUGUGAAGAUACGCAGACAACCAGGAUGUUGGCUCAGAAGCAGCCACUCAUUCAAAGAGUGCGUAAUAGCUCACUGGUCGAGCGUCUUUGCGCGGAGAAUUUAACGGGGCUAAACCUGACACCGAAGCUUAGGCAAUCCAGUAAUGGAUUGGGUAGGGGAGCGUUGUAUACGCGGAGAAACAGUAGCGUAAGCGGCUGUGGAGUGUAUAGAAGUGAGAAUGCCGGAAUGAGUAGCGCGAAUGCAGUGAGAAUCUGCAUGGCCGAAAGCCUCAGGUUUUUGGAGGAAGGUUCGUCCGCUCCAAGUUAGUCGGGAGCUAAGGUGAGGCCGGAAGGCGUAGCCGAUGCACAGACGGUAGAGAUUCCGUCACCACCAAAAGAGUUAAGCACAGGGACACAUUUGAAGUCUCAGAGCCGGGUGUUGGUUCCGGUAGAGAUCGAGGGAAGUUAGUACCGAAGUCUGGGAUGGAAGAUGGCGAGAAAAGCUGUGUGUAUUUCUGAGGUGCCCGUACCGCAAACCGACACAGGUAGGUAGGAAGAAGAUUCUAAGGCCAACGGGAGAAGGGUUGUUAAGGAACUCGGCAAAUUGACCCCGUAACUUCGGGAGAAGGGGUGCUCCAGAGAUGGAGCCGCAGAGAAUCGGCCCAAGCAACUGUUUACCAAAAACACAGGUUUGUGCUAAAUCGAAAGAUGACGUAUACGAGCUGACGCCUGCCCGGUGCUGGAAGGUUAAGAGGAGAUGUGCAAGCAUUGAAUCGAAGCCCCAGUGAACGGCGGCCGUAACUAUAACGGUCCUAAGGUAGCGAAAUUCCUUGUCAGGUAAGUUCUGACCCGCAUGAAAGGCGUAAUGAUUUGGGCACUGUCUCAACAGCCCGCCCGGCGAAAUUGUAGUACCGGUGAAGAUGCCGGUUACCCGCGACAAGACGGAAAGACCCCAUGGAGCUUUACUGUAGCCUAAUAUUGGGUUUCGAUGUUGCAUGCACAGGAUAGAUGGGACACAGGGAAACAGGAGCUUUGGCUUCUGCGGAGUGGCCGUUGGGAUACCAUCCUUGCGAUAUUGGAAUUCUAACCUGCA